AGAUGGCAUACCUAUCUGCUUUAUACAACGCUGCAUCCGGGUUCUAAUCCCAGCUGAAGCUGAUUGUUGGUUUAAGAACUCAUGAUACUCAUGGUAGUGUGUGUAAAUGUGUUGUGUGUGUGAAACAUAGGUGUAAUGCUAAAAAUAGGAGGCUGUCCAAUCCACUUGACCCAAAAAAAACAAAUGAAUUACUAUUUGAACUAAGGGCUCAGCUGCCAAUACAAAAACUUGAGAGUUAAAAGAGUCCAACAGAGGCCCC
Molecule: long non-coding RNA, 259 nt
Filed under: Arachis ipaensis
Lineage: Eukaryota; Viridiplantae; Streptophyta; Magnoliopsida; Fabales; Fabaceae
Description: long non-coding RNA (AIPA_LNC001362)
Source: RNAcentral